Molecule: ribosomal RNA, 253 nt
Filed under: uncultured bacterium
Lineage: Bacteria
Description: partial 16S ribosomal RNA
Rfam family: Archaeal small subunit ribosomal RNA
Source: RNAcentral
UACCAGCAACCCGAGUGGUCGGGACGUUUAUUGGGCCUAAAGCAUCCGUAGCCGGUUCUACAAGUCUUCCGUUAAAUCCACCUGCUUAACAGAUGGGCUGCGGAAGAUACUAUAGAGCUAGGAGGCGGGAGAGGCAAGCGGUACUCGAUGGGUAGGGGUAAAAUCCGUUGAUCCAUUGAAGACCACCAGUGGCGAAGGCGGCUUGCCAGAACGCGCUCGACGGUGAGGGAUGAAAGCUGGGGGAGCAAACCGG